UAACAAGAAACAAUUUUAGCCAUCCCAUCAUCGAUGCCCCGGACUGAUUUGGUUUGGUGAUCGGUGAGAGUAUCAUUUUCUCAUGAUUGAUAAUUCUCUCUCUAAAACCCUUUCGCAUGAGACUCCUAAACUUCUGUUCCCUCUGAGUGAUAUAUACAUACACAACACAACUAUAUAUAUAUAUUCUGUGCGUUGGGGUCUCAAUGGCUUCAUUAUCAUCAUCAGUGGUCAGAGCUCAUAAUUCGAAGCACAUUCUCUCAUUCAUCGCACCUACCUACUCUUUCUGUCGAGGUUUGAGUUCGACUCACUUGCACUUGCUUCGCGGAAAUGCAAGUGCUUCUCAAUUCGCUCCAUGGUGGCGAUCCAUGGCCACAUUCACAAGAACAAAACCACAUGUAAAUGUGGGUACCAUUGGACAUGUUGAUCAUGGGAAAACUACUUUGACUGCUGCAAUCACAAAGGUGCUUGCGGAAGAAGGCAAAGCCAAGGCUGUUGCCUUUGAUGAGAUUGAUAAGGCUCCUGAAGAGAAGAAGAGGGGAAUUACUAUUGCUACGGCCCAUGUGGAGUACGAAACUACUAAGCGGCACUAUGCUCAUGUUGACUGCCCAGGACAUGCAGACUAUGUUAAAAACAUGAUUACUGGAGCUGCCCAAAUGGAUGGGGGCAUCCUGGUGGUAUCUGCUCCAGAUGGACCCAUGCCACAGACAAAGGAACAUAUUUUGCUUGCCCGCCAGGUUGGUGUACCAUCUUUGGUAUGCUUUCUUAAUAAAGUCGAUGCUGUUGAUGAUUCAGAGCUACUAGAACUUGUUGAGAUGGAACUCCGUGAGCUGCUCAACUUCUACAAAUUUCCUGGAGAUGAAAUCCCAAUUGUUCGGGGUUCAGCCUUGUCUGCCCUACAGGGGACAAAUGAUGAACUUGGGAAAAAGGCUAUUUUAAAACUAAUGGAUGCUGUGGAUGAAUAUAUAACUGAUCCUGUACGCCAGCUUGAUAAGCCGUUCUUAAUGCCAGUUGAAGAUGUUUUUUCAAUUCAGGGACGUGGGACUGUUGUUACUGGUCGUAUUGAACAGGGUACCAUCAAAGUUGGUGAGGAUAUUGAAAUUUUGGGAUUGAUGCAGGGUGGGCCCUUGAAGACUACAGUCACUGGUGUAGAGAUGUUUAAGAAAAGUUUGGAUCAUGGACAGGCUGGUGAUAAUGUGGGCCUUCUUUUGCGUGGCUUAAAGCGUGAUGAGGUACAACGAGGACAGGUAGUAGCAAAACCUGGAACCCUAAAAACUUAUAAGCGUUUUGAGGCAGAGAUUUAUGUUCUCACGAAAGAUGAAGGUGGCCGCCAUACUGCGUUUUUCUCAAAUUAUAUGCCUCAAUUCUACAUGAGGACUGCAGAUAUUACAGGGAAGGUGGAAUUGCCUGAAAAUGUUAAGAUGGUGAUGCCUGGUGACAAUGUGACUGCAGUUUUUGAGCUGAUUUCACCUGUUCCUGUUGAAGCAGGACAAAGAUUUGCUUUGAGAGAAGGAGGUAGGACGGUUGGUGCAGGAGUUGUCUCAAAAGUAAUUGACUAAAAUACUGCAACUGGUCCUGAACAAUAAAAUUCAUGCCUACUCAUUUGCAGAAAGAUGUUUAACAGAUGUCAGGCUACUCUUCAUAGAGAUGAGUGCAAUUUCUGGUGAUUAGUGAUGUUUACUUUAGUCACUGUUAGUGAGGUUAACGCAGAAGCAAUCUGGAGCCAAUACAGAAGCCUGCUGACAUGUUUUGCUGAGAAAACCCAUUGGGCAUAUGGCAACAGAGGAACAUCUGAAGCCAACCAUGUUCGAGUCGGCAUCUUUUUCUGAACACAGUUUUUGUGGCUUCCCAGAGCUUGAAACGCAGUUGCAGCUUCCGUUUGCUGUGGAGAAGGCAAUGGUGGACCGGCCACUGCCAUCUGCUGGACAGGAUGAUUACAUUCAUCAAAACAAACCCAGGCCAUUCCAGUACAAUCCUCCAUUGAGAGCCAAGACCCAUCGACCACGAUACGCCACUUCUGAGAAUCUGCUGUGAUUGAAACAGUGUGCUGCAAAAGAACUUGAUUAGAGAAGACAUUGUUAAUGUUAUAACAUGAGUGAGAGAGUGCCUGUGUGACUUGCUGCUGUGGUGAAAAAACCAAUGAAAAUAAAUCAUGAGCUAUGGCUAAGGUUCGUUCGAUGGUCAUGGCCAUAGUAUGGAAUUCAGUAGAAUUUCGUUGUAACCAGAUAGCCUAUAAAAUGGCAAUAGAUUGUAUUAAAAUCUCAGAGUCAUGAUUCUGCUGAUCCCAACCCUUGAACCACGUGAAGAAGGAAGUAGGAGUGCCAAUACUAAAGUCAAGCCCCAAUGCAGACCCACGCCCUACCCUCCGAGACACCUGACAAUCGAAAAAUAAAUGCUCAAGAGAUUCUUCAUACGCAAGACAUUACUUCUUGCUUUUUUUGACAUGUUUUAUUUUCUUUGAUGAAUUUUUUUUUUAUAAGAAAAUAUCUUGUAUUUAAUUAAGCCUUAAAAAUAAUGGUGCUUUUUGUACGAGGGUAGUGAUGGCAGUAAAAGGUGGUUAUAGGAA
This is an RNA transcript of Camellia sinensis, 2563 nucleotides long. It is a transcript of the gene named elongation factor Tu, mitochondrial, with no coding region annotated. Lineage: Eukaryota; Viridiplantae; Streptophyta; Magnoliopsida; Ericales; Theaceae. The record is from RefSeq and is a predicted model, not a curated record.